RNAcentral lists this ribosomal RNA (437 nucleotides) under uncultured bacterium. Its description in RNAcentral is "partial 16S ribosomal RNA". It matches the Rfam family "Bacterial small subunit ribosomal RNA", at positions 29 to 507 of the family's 1533-position model. The record is from RNAcentral.
AGCGAACGCUGGCGGCAGGCUUAACACAUGCAAGUCGAGCGGGCAUCCUUGUGGUGUCCGCGGCAGACGGGUGAGUAACGCGUGGGAACGUGCCCUUCGGUUCGGAAUAACUCAGGGAAACUUGAGCUAAUACCGGAUACGUGCGAGAGCAGAAAGGUUUAUCUGCCGAAGGAUCGGCCCGCGUCUGAUUAGCUAGUUGGUGAGGUUAUGGCCCACCAAGGCGACGAUCAGUAGCUGGUCUGAGAGGAUGAUCAGCCACACUGGGACUGAGACACGGCCCAGACUCCUACGGGAGGCAGCAGUGGGGAAUAUUGGACAAUGGGGGCAACCCUGAUCCAGCCAUGCCGCGUGAGUGAUGACGGCCUUAGGGUUGUAAAGCUCUUUUCUUCGGGACGAUAAUGACGGUACCGGAGGAAUAAGCCCCGGCUAACUUCGUG